UCCUUCUUUUUCUCUCUUUCUCCUUCCUUCCUUUUCUUCCAUCUCACUCAUUCUUUUCGCCAAGUUUGGAGUGACAGUUGUCGGCUCAACCGACAAAGGACUUCAAAAACUGGUGAACUUGAGGACGAGAGAGGAACAUGGAACUCCAGGUGUAGUAGUGAAAUGCGUAGAUAUCUGGAAGAACACCAAUGGCGAAGGCAAUGUUCUGGCUCGUUUCUGACGCUCAGGUGCGAAAGCCAGGGGAGCGAACGGG
This 253-nucleotide ribosomal RNA is filed under the name uncultured bacterium. RNAcentral describes it as "partial 16S ribosomal RNA". The stretch from base 44 to 253 matches the Rfam family "Bacterial small subunit ribosomal RNA", at positions 567 to 776 of the family's 1533-position model. The record is from RNAcentral.